This 1654-nucleotide unclassified non-coding RNA is filed under the name Anthonomus grandis grandis. Its description in RNAcentral is "nADH-cytochrome b5 reductase-like". Lineage: Eukaryota; Metazoa; Arthropoda; Insecta; Coleoptera; Curculionidae. The record is from RNAcentral.
AAAGUUUUAGGUUAGUUUUAAUCUAGGUUAGGAAAAUAUAAAAUAUAAACAAAUUUAAUAAAAGCAGAAAUAAAGAAUAUUAUAAUGAUAUAAAUAAAAUAAGAAUUCGAUCACAUCAUGAUCAUGCAAGAACCAGUAAAACCCAGUGAAUCAGACUGUUGUGGCUCGGGCUGUAAUCCCUGCAUAUUAGAUGUUUAUGAAGAGCAGUUGAAGAAAUACAAUGCCUCAAAAAACCAAGAACUAAAGAAUUCCUUUAAUACCUGCUUAUCUCCUACAACUUUUAGCUUAUUUAAGUUAAUAGAUGUUAAAAAGCAUACCAAAGAUUGUAAUUUAAAUACAUUCAGAUUUAUACAGUUUCAAAACUCAAGUCUUGAACACAACAUUGAUCAGUUGUCUGUUCAAUAUGAACCAGGUCAGUAUUUGUUAUUAAAAGGAGAAGUACAAGGGGAUAUUUUUCAAAAAGCAUAUACUCCAUUGUAUGUAGAGGACCUAGACCAACACUGCUUCACCAUAUUAGUAAAGUUAUAUAAUAAUGGCCGAAUGUCAAAGCUUUUUAAGGAAUUAACCAUAGGUUCUAAGACCUUAUGGCGGGGACCCUAUGGCAAAUUCAAAAUCGAUUAUAAAUGUAAACAUAUACUAUUUAUUGCCCAAGGAACAGGCAUUGCCCCAUUUUAUACAAUUAUAUCAAAGAUGUUACUAAAUGAGGAUUGUUUGAGUUUUUUAACUUUAUAUUUCUGUUGUGACCAAGACAAUAUAUUGCUUAGAGAUGAAUUAUAUAAAUUGAGAGAUUAUUGGAAUUUUAGUUAUGAGCUAUUUAUUUCGAAGUUAAAUAUGCAAGCAUUUACUAAAAAAUACCAUGAAGUUGUAAAAGGUUCUCGACUAGGGAUCGCUGAUAUUAAACAGUUUUUGAAUAAAGUAAUGCUUCAGAAAAAUGUAAGUUUAAAAGUGUUGGUAUGUGGAAGUGAUUCUUUUAGUGAAAAUAUUAAAUUUAUUUUAGAGUCCUGUAAUGUCAUGUCUGAUGAUAUAAUAAUUUUUUAAUAUUAUGGAUUUUUAAUAUUCAUUUGGUUACUAUAAUCACCAAAUAUUUACCUUUUGUUUUGUUUGUUUGCAUGCAAUCAUUCCUAUAUCUUUUAUUAAAGCUAAUUUAAUUUAGUGAGAUAUUUUUGUUAAAAUGGCUCAAUUUAUAGUAAAAAUUUUGUCACUUUCUACUACUUCUAAAUUAAGUUUGACACACUGUCUUUUUUUUCGUAAAAAUAAAUUGAUUAAACUGAUACAAAUUAAAGUGAACCAACUAGACUAAAAAACAAAACCCAACGCAUUUCGGCUUCAUAAAAAAAAAUUUUACUAUAAUGUAUUAAAUUAAAGAAAAUGAAACCAGAAAACAAAAUAGGAGCUGUGAGAGGAAUAUAUUAUGAUGCCAAACCAACAUUUUGACUCUGCAAGUUCACAUUAUACUUAAUUGUUGAACCACCUCAGGAAAGAAGUCAACUAAACAAGGAAUGAUGCAACAGUAAUAAAAUAAAAAUUUACUUUUUAUUUUAUUAAAUGUGAUAUAAAACCAAUAUAUAUAACUAUAAAUAUAUAUAUUUUAAGUAUUAAUAUUUUUAAAAACAAGUGUAUAUGAGUAAAUAAAUAAUGUACAUUGGUAUUAUAA